Molecule: long non-coding RNA, 1725 nt
Organism: Oreochromis aureus
Lineage: Eukaryota; Metazoa; Chordata; Actinopteri; Cichliformes; Cichlidae
Source: Ensembl
CAGCUGUCUCCACUUUCCUGUGUAUUUAUUGUCUCAGUCUUGCCUUGUUCUUGGUUGUGUUCUCUCCUGCUGUGUCUUCCAUGUUUCUCUGGUAGCUUCCAAGUUUUUCUAGUUCUCAGUUUCUAGUUUUGAUUUUUUUUUUUUCCCAUCUACUCAAAGCGCUUUACAUUUCAAGGUAAAGACACUACAAUGAUAAAGAGAAAACCACAACAAUCAGACGACCCCCUGUGAGCGAGGACUUGGCAACAGCGGAAAGGAAAAACGCCAUUUUAACAGGAAGACUCCUCAGGCGCUGCAGACAUCAUCAGAAUGUCUGCCAACAGCAGCACGAGUGUCGUGCUGCCAUCAGGCCUGCAGGGGGACCCGAGGACGCGCGGGUACGAUGUCAGGUGGACUCAGAUCCCUCACCUGCUGCUGAACUGGAACCGGAGCACGUGCUCCCACGGACGCUGCUCGAUGCUCCCUGACGGCUCGCUUGAGUUCAGCCGACUUCAGACCCAAGACUCCGGAAGCUACACGCUGGAGGUGUUUGACAAGACUGGGUCGAGACUGCAGACCAAAGACUUCCUGCUGCAGGUGACAGGGUUUGCUCAGCCAGCGAAGAGUGACGGCGGCGUGAACACCGCUUUCUCCAGGAAGAUGGAGGAAACGACAGACUGGGUAGCGUUACAUCCGGCGGGCCGGGCAAGAAAUCCUCCAGCAGUUGGAGCAGACCACAGCAGCAGCCAUGUGGUGUCUUCAGUGUCCGUCUGCGUCGUCCUGCUGGUUCUGUUGCUCUUCUUCAUCGUGGUCUUCAUCCUGAGGAAGAGGAGGGUUCAGAGGAAGAUGACCACAGGUCAGAAGGAGGAGAAGGAGGAGAACAUUUAUGUGGUGAUGAAGGGUUGCCAAGGUAACAAGAACAAUGAAGAGGAGAAGGAGAAGAAACUGGAGAAAGAGGAAGAGCCCCUCUAUGUUCCCUGCAGUCCUACAGUUUCCUCCCAGCAUGAAGACAGUGUGUACGUGUGAGGACCAAUCAGAGCCCAGCGUGUCUGCUCUGUAUGGAAGCCUUUGAGAGACUUUAUUAAUUGGAGAUAAACUAUCUGAAUUUCAGGAGCAGGACCACGCCUCCAAACACGCCCCUUCCUGUUCUUACCUAUAUUUGACCCCCCAGCUCUACAACCCCCCCUUCUCAUUAGUACUUGGGGACGUCCCCUCUGAGCCUUCCCCAAACUGCGGCUCAGUUCGUGUUUAAGCCGUCUGCCUUGAUCUAAUAAAACUGCUGUCAAGCUAACACGAGGACGUGUGAAAGUGAUGACGUACACCAGUGUUUCCCAACAACACAGGUGUGCCGUGCCUUUCCCGUUGUUACUCUGCUCUGAAGAUGUUACCAUGGAAACGUGGACUAUAUCUCAAGUUAUUUGAUAAAAUGUGACUUUUCUGAAAGCAACAUGUUCAUAAAUAUAAAUAACUUUUAUUUUUCAAACAGUUUUGUUAAAAAUCACAUUCAGACUCACUGGACGAUUUAUCAGGUACACCAUGUUAAUACUCAGUGGAGUGAAUUUUGUGGAUUUUGCUUGUUUGUGGAUCAGAUUCAGCGCGCUGCUGGAAACCUUCCUCACAUCUUCUUCAGUAUCUUCUUCAUCCUGAAGUAUUUUGAUAUUUCUCUGUAAAGUCGUUUCCCUUCCUCUGUUUCUUUGUUAUUAAGGUUCUCUGGACAAAUGUUUCUGACAAUAAUUCAGAUUGACU